AACAACCGUUACAACAAGUAGGAGUCCAUUUUCCACAUCCACAACGGCAUCAACCACAACAAGACCCCCGCCACCAGAGCCAGCCUUGUCACUGGAGUUCCACAUAGUGGAGGACUUUAAUGAGGAUCUGAAGAAUCCCUCUUCAGAGAACUUCAAGGCCUUGGCGAAGGAAGUAACGACACAGUUGGAUAAGAUUUAUUCCCAGAAAUAUGGGAAGGGAUUCAAUCGCACCAAAGUCAACGGCUUCAGGAAAGGAUCAAUUGUGGUGGACACUUCCCUAGUGUUCAACAAUUUCAGUGUCGUACCAAACACCAGCGAUGUGACCCAAACCCUCAAAGAAGCCACGUUCUCCAACACCUCUGGUUUCAGUCUCCAAGUAAACAUCUCCACCAUUACAACCACAAUCCCGACACAAACUUCACCGACUACAACAAGCACUCCCACGACAAAAUCUGACAAAAACACAUUUACUCCACCUUUACCUCAAAGUCUUCACACAGUGAACACAACCUCUGUGUCAUUAGAAGUAAUAUCAACACCGCAAACAGACACACAGACAGCGAACCCUGACCCGACAUCUCUUAAAACAACUAUUGCUACAACUUCCCUAAUUAGCAGUAACACACCACAUGUAAUAACCACUACACAUAAUGUUGCAAACACACAGCCUGGCAGCCUGACGGUGGUGACUGAGGUUACUAUGACAACAGAAAGUGAAGCCCCAACUACAACCAUGACUGGUACCCCCACUAUAACUGUGACUGAGGUUACUAUGGCAACAGGAACUAAAUCCCCACCUACAACUAUGACUGGAGCCCCCACUACAACUGUGAUUGAAGUUGCUUUCACAACAGACACUGAAGCCCCUACCACAACCAUAACAGAUGUUGUAGCUACAACUGUAAAUGAGGUUACUUCGACCACAGAAACAAUAAUCCCAACUACAAAUAUUGCUGGUGCUCCCACUACAACUGUGACUGAAGUUACCUUGACCCCAGAAACAGUAACCCCAACUACAAAUGUCACUGGUGCCCCCACUACAGCUGUGACUGAAGUUGCUUUCACAACAGACACUGAAGCCCCUACCACAACCAUAACAGAUGCUGUAGCUACAACUGUAAAUGAGGUUACUUUGACCACAGAAACAAUAAUCCCAACUACAAAUAUUGCUGGUGCUCCCACUACAACCAUGACUGAGGUUGCCAUGAUAACAGGCACUGAAGGCCCAAAUACAACAAUAAAUGGAGAACCCAUUGAAGUUGCAACUGAGAUUAUUUCGACAACAGAAACCGAAGCCCCAUCUACAACCAUGACUAGUUCCACCACGGCAACUGCUACUGAUGUUACUAUGACAACAGGAACUGAAACUCCAACCACAGCCAUGACAGAUGCUGUAGCUACAACUGUAACUGAAUUUACCUUAACUACAACUGUAAAAAAGAUUGAUAUGACACCAACAACGGAAAAUCUAUCUACAACAGCCACAGGUCCAUCAAUGCCUACUGCAAAUGGAGUUCUCUCUAAUGUCACUAAUUCCCCCACAACAACGCUCACAAAUAUUUUUGAGUCAACUGCAACUGAAGGCCUCAAAAUAACCACAACCGAUGCCCCCACUACAGCUGUAACGGAAGAUCUCAUUACAACAGUCGCAGAUAUUUCCACGUCAAGGACCACUCAAGGUCUCACUACAACUACAAGUGAUGGUCGCUUUUCAGGUUUUACAGAAGUUACUGUGACACCAGAAACUGACGAUCCGGUCACAACAGCCACAGAUAUAUUCACGCCAACUGUAACUAAAGGUCUUACUACUGAAACACCUGCUACAUUCAUAACCGGUGCUCCGGUGUCAGUUGGAAUCCCCAUUACAUCAGCCACAGAAACUGCUGUAACAUCUGUAACUGGUAUUUCCACUACACUCGUGCUUGCUCUCCCCACUACAAAGACUGUUACAGAACUCUCUACAACUACCAAAACUGCUGUUGAUACUCUAACUGACAUAGCAGCGCCUGAAACUACCAGAAUCAGUGCCAUCACUGCUCCCACAACUUCCACCACCAUCCAGGAGCUGGGGAUCACUUCCACUCUGCCACAGAUAGAAAAAACAACAGUUACAACAAGUAGGAGUCCAUUUUCCACAUCCACAACGGCAUCAACCACAACAAGACCCCCGCCACCAGAGCCAGCCUUGUCACUGGAGUUCCACAUAGUGGAGGACUUUAAUGAGGAUCUGAAGAAUCCCUCUUCAGAGAACUUCAAGGCCUUGGCGAAGGAAGUAACGACACAGUUGGAUAAGAUUUAUUCCCAGAAAUAUGGGAAGGGAUUCAAUCGCACCAAAGUCAACGGCUUCAGGAAAGGAUCAAUUGUGGUGGACACUUCCCUAGUGUUCAACAAUUUCAGUGUCGUACCAAACACCAGCGAUGUGACCCAAACCCUCAAAGAAGCCACGUUCUCCAACACCUCUGGUUUCAGUCUCCAAGUAAACAUCUCCACCAUUACAACCACAAUCCCGACACAAACUUCACCGACUACAACAAGCACUCCCACGACAAAAUCUGACAAAAACACAUUUACUCCACCUUUACCUCAAAGUCUUCACACAGUGAACACAACCUCUGUGUCAUUAGAAGUAAUAUCAACACCGCAAACAGACACACAGACAGCGAACCCUGACCCGACAUCUCUUAAAACAACUAUUGCUACAACUUCCCUAAUUAGCAGUAACACACCACAUGUAACAACCACUACACAUAAUGUUGCAAACACACAGCCUGGCAGCCUGACGGUGGUGACUGAGGUUACUAUGACAACAGAAAGUGAAGCCCCAACUACAACCAUGACUGGUACCCCCACUAUAACUGUGACUGAGGUUACUAUGGCAACAGGAACUAAAUCCCCACCUACAACUAUGACUGGAGCCCCCACUACAACUGUGAUUGAAGUUGCUUUCACAACAGACACUGAAGCCCCUACCACAACCAUAACAGAUGUUGUAGCUACAACUGUAAAUGAGGUUACUUCGACCACAGAAACAAUAAUCCCAACUACAAAUAUUGCUGGUGCUCCCACUACAACUGUGACUGAAGUUACCUUGACCCCAGAAACAGUAACCCCAACUACAAAUGUCACUGGUGCCCCCACUACAGCUGUGACUGAAGUUGCUUUCACAACAGACACUGAAGCCCCUACCACAACCAUAACAGAUGCUGUAGCUACAACUGUAAAUGAGGUUACUUUGACCACAGAAACAAUAAUCCCAACUACAAAUAUUGCUGGUGCUCCCACUACAACCAUGACUGAGGUUGCCAUGAUAACAGGCACUGAAGGCCCAAAUACAACAAUAAAUGGAGAACCCAUUGAAGUUGCAACUGAGAUUAUUUCGACAACAGAAACCGAAGCCCCAUCUACAACCAUGACUAGUUCCACCACGGCAACAGCUACUGAUGUUACUAUGACAACAGGAACUGAAACUCCAACCACAGCCAUGACAGAUGCUGUAGCUACAACUGUAACUGAAUUUACCUUAACUACAACUGUAAAAAAGAUUGAUAUGACACCAACAACGGAAAAUCUAUCUACAACAGCCACAGGUCCAUCAAUGCCUACUGCAAAUGGAGUUCUCUCUAAUGUCACUAAUUCCCCCACAACAACGCUCACAAAUAUUUUUGAGUCAACUGCAACUGAAGGCCUCAAAAUAACCACAACCGAUGCCCCCACUACAGCUGUAACGGAAGAUCUCAUUACAACAGUCGCAGAUAUUUCCACGUCAAGGACCACUCAAGGUCUCACUACAACUACAAGUGAUGGUCGCUUUUCAGGUUUUACAGAAGUUACUGUGACACCAGAAACUGACGAUCCGGUCACAACAGCCACAGAUAUAUUCACGCCAACUGUAACUAAAGGUCUUACUACUGAAACACCUGCUACAUUCAUAACCGGUGCUCCGGUGUCAGUUGGAAUCCCCAUUACAUCAGCCACAGAAACUGCUGUAACAUCUGUAACUGGUAUUUCCACUACACUCGUGCUUGCUCUCCCCACUACAAAGACUGUUACAGAACUCUCUACAACUACCAAAACUGCUGUUGAUACUCUAACUGACAUAGCAGCGCCUGAAACUACCAGAAUCAGUGCCAUCACUGCUCCCACAACUUCCACCACCAUCCAGGAGCUGGGGAUCACUUCCAC
Long non-coding RNA from Anguilla rostrata (American eel), 4182 nucleotides. RefSeq lists it as uncharacterized. NCBI's taxonomy places the organism in Eukaryota, Metazoa, Chordata, Actinopteri, Anguilliformes, Anguillidae. The transcript has 7 exons. The record is from RefSeq and is a predicted model, not a curated record.